This 692-nucleotide ribosomal RNA is filed under the name Flavobacterium sp. T1.05.BG.W.Gill.N. Its description in RNAcentral is "bacterial SSU rRNA". It matches the Rfam family "Bacterial small subunit ribosomal RNA", at positions 60 to 752 of the family's 1533-position model. The record is from RNAcentral. Lineage: Bacteria; Pseudomonadati; Bacteroidota; Flavobacteriia; Flavobacteriales; Flavobacteriaceae.
AGUCGAGGGGUAUGCUUCUUCGGGAGCAGAGACCGGCGCACGGGUGCGUAACGCGUAUGCAAUCUACCUUUUACAGAGGGAUAGCCCAGAGAAAUUUGGAUUAAUACCUCAUAGUAUAAUAGCUCGGCAUCGAGCAAUUAUUAAAGUCACAACGGUAAAAGAUGAGCAUGCGUCCCAUUAGCUAGUUGGUAAGGUAACGGCUUACCAAGGCUACGAUGGGUAGGGGUCCUGAGAGGGAGAUCCCCCACACUGGUACUGAGACACGGACCAGACUCCUACGGGAGGCAGCAGUGAGGAAUAUUGGACAAUGGGCGCAAGCCUGAUCCAGCCAUGCCGCGUGCAGGAUGACGGUCCUAUGGAUUGUAAACUGCUUUUGUACAGGAAGAAACAGUUCUACGUGUAGAACCUUGACGGUACUGUAAGAAUAAGGAUCGGCUAACUCCGUGCCAGCAGCCGCGGUAAUACGGAGGAUCCAAGCGUUAUCCGGAAUCAUUGGGUUUAAAGGGUCCGUAGGCGGUUUAAUAAGUCAGUGGUGAAAGCCCAUCGCUCAACGGUGGAACGGCCAUUGAUACUGUUAAACUUGAAUUAUUAGGAAGUAACUAGAAUAUGUAGUGUAGCGGUGAAAUGCUUAGAGAUUACAUGGAAUACCAAUUGCGAAAGGCAGGUUACUACUAAUUGAUUGACGCUGAUGG